Molecule: ribosomal RNA, 492 nt
Filed under: uncultured bacterium
Lineage: Bacteria
Description: partial 16S ribosomal RNA
Rfam family: Bacterial small subunit ribosomal RNA
Source: RNAcentral
AGUGAACGCUGGCGGUAGGCCUAACACAUGCAAGUCGAACGGCAGCACAGUAAGAGCUUGCUCUUACGGGUGGCGAGUGGCGGACGGGUUAGGAAUACAUCGGAAUCUACUUUUUCGUGGGGGAUAACGUAGGGAAACUUACGCUAAUACCGCAUACGACCUACGGGUGAAAGCAGGGGAUCUUCGGACCUUGCGCGAUUGAAUGAGCCGAUGUCGGAUUAGCUAGUUGGCGGGGUAAAGGCCCACCAAGGCGACGAUCCGUAGCUGGUCUGAGAGGAUGAUCAGCCACACUGGAACUGAGACACGGUCCAGACUCCUACGGGAGGCAGCAGUGGGGAAUAUUGGACAAAGGGCGCAAGCCUGAUCCAGCCAUACCGCGUGGGUGAAGAAGGCCUUCGGGUUGUAAAUCCCUUUUGUUGGGAAAGAAAAGCAGCAGGUUAAUACCCCGCUGUUCUGACGGUACCCAAAGAAUAAGCACCGGCUAACUUCGUG